Molecule: ribosomal RNA, 466 nt
Filed under: uncultured bacterium
Lineage: Bacteria
Description: partial 16S ribosomal RNA
Rfam family: Bacterial small subunit ribosomal RNA
Source: RNAcentral
GACGGACGCUGGCGGCGCGCCUAACACAUGCAAGUCGAACGAGCGAGAGAGAGCUUGCUUUCUCGAGCGAGUGGCGAACGGGUGAGUAACGCGUGAGGAACCUGCCUCAAAGAGGGGGACAACAGUUGGAAACGACUGCUAAUACCGCAUAAGCCCACGACCCGGCAUCGGGUAGAGGGAAAAGGAGCAAUCCGCUUUGAGAUGGCCUCGCGUCCGAUUAGCUAGUUGGUGAGGUAACGGCCCACCAAGGCGACGAUCGGUAGCCGGACUGAGAGGUUGAACGGCCACAUUGGGACUGAGACACGGCCCAGACUCCUACGGGAGGCAGCAGUGGGGAAUAUUGCACAAUGGGGGAAACCCUGAUGCAGCGACGCCGCGUGGAGGAAGAAGGUCUUCGGAUUGUAAACUCCUGUUGUUGAGGAAGAUAAUGACGGUACUCAACAAGGAAGUGACGGCUAACUACGUG